RNA transcript from Episyrphus balteatus (marmalade hoverfly), 1069 nucleotides. It is a transcript of the gene named uracil phosphoribosyltransferase homolog, with no coding region annotated. The transcript is spliced from 5 exons. The record is from RefSeq and is a predicted model, not a curated record. NCBI's taxonomy places the organism in Eukaryota, Metazoa, Arthropoda, Insecta, Diptera, Syrphidae.
UCGUGCAUUUUUUUUACAAGAAACCAAUUUGGAAAAAGUUUUUUUUCUUUCUUCUUUGUUUUUAAUUAUUAUAUUCCCCACUGAUAUUUUUAAAAAUUUUAAUUAAAAAAAAAAAGUAACAAAAUAGUCAAAAUAGCCGACAUAAUGUGCAACGGUGCAAGUAGCUCUACGUCCGAUGACGAGAGUGAAUAUGGCACCAAUUUAAAAAUUCUUCCAAGGAACCCACAAGUCGCUGAAUUACAAACUAUUAUUCGUGACAAGAACACAUCUCGCAGUGACUUUAAAUUCUAUGCCGAUCGAUUAAUUCGUCUCGUCAUCGAAGAGAGCCUCAACCAAUUGCCAUAUUCUGAUUGUUCAGUAGAAACACCAACUGGCGCUGUCUACGAAGGACUUAAAUAUCGAUCUGGCAAUUGUGGAGUAUCAAUUAUUCGCUCCGGCGAAGCAAUGGAACAGGGUCUACGUGAUUGUUGUCGAUCAAUUCGAAUCGGAAAGAUUCUAGUCGAAUCCGAUGCCGACACACACGUCGCCCGAGUUGUUUAUGCUAGAUUUCCCGAUGACAUUGCCAGAAGACAAGUGUUGCUGAUGUAUCCAAUCAUGUCAACAGGAAAUACUGUUUUGCAGGCUGUGAAUGUUCUUAAAGAACAUGGAGUACCAGAGGAUUGUAUUAUCCUCUCGAAUCUCUUUUGCACACCAGUGGCUGCUAAAACAGUUGUCACUGCAUUUCCCGAGAUGAAGAUACUCACUUCGGAGUUGCAUGCAGUUGCUCCUAAUCAUUUUGGCCAAAAAUACUUCGGUACUGAUUGAAUUUUUAGCUUCCUAGAAACUUUGAGUUUCUUCUUUGUCUCUAAAAACAAGACUUUAUCUCUUACUCACGCUUCUCUGUCGUCUUUAUUGUCCAUAAAUGAAUCAAAUCGAACACUCUUGUGAUUGCUUUUGAUUUGUGCUUGUGGCGUUGUAUUUUUUUUUUUUAUUGUUUUGUACUUAAAUGAAAAAUGUUAGCUUGUCGUAGUAAUAGAAAUUAAUUAAUGAAUUUAUUAUACAAACUUCAAAUAAAAAUGAAUUCAAUUUU